RNAcentral lists this transfer RNA (72 nucleotides) under Spirochaetaceae bacterium. Its description in RNAcentral is "tRNA-Glu". It matches the Rfam family "tRNA". From Rfam's summary of the family: Transfer RNA (tRNA) molecules are approximately 80 nucleotides in length. Their secondary structure includes four short double-helical elements and three loops (D, anti-codon, and T loops). The record is from RNAcentral. Lineage: Bacteria; Pseudomonadati; Spirochaetota; Spirochaetia; Spirochaetales; Spirochaetaceae.
GGUCCGUUCGUCUAAUGGUUAGGACAGUUGGUUUUCAUCCAACAAACAGGAGUUCAAUUCUCCUACGGACCU